CACCUUUGACAUGUACGGAAUCCUUUAGAGAUAGAGGAGUGCUCGAAAGAGAGCCGUAACACAGGUGCUGCAUGGCUGUCGUCAGCUCGUGUCGUGAGAUGUUGGGUUAAGUCCCGCAACGAGCGCAACCCUUGCCAUUAGUUGCUACGAAAGGGCACUCUAAUGGGACUGCCGGUGACAAACCGGAGGAAGGUGGGGAUGACGUCAAGUCCUCAUGGCCCUUAUAGGUGGGGCUACACACG
RNAcentral lists this ribosomal RNA (242 nucleotides) under uncultured bacterium. Its description in RNAcentral is "partial 16S ribosomal RNA". It matches the Rfam family "Bacterial small subunit ribosomal RNA", at positions 976 to 1222 of the family's 1533-position model. The record is from RNAcentral.